UUGCCCCAGUAACGGCGAGUGAAGCGGCAACAGCUCAAAUUUGAAAUCUGGCUCCUAGAGCCCGAGUUGUAAUUUGUAGAGGAUGCUUUUGAUGCGGUGCCUUCCGAGUUCCCUGGAACGGGACGCCAUAGAGGGUGAGAGCCCCGUCUGGUCGGAUGCCAAAUCUCUGUAAAGCUCCUUCGACGAGUCGAGUAGUUUGGGAAUGCUGCUCAAAAUGGGAGGUAUAUGUCUUCUAAAGCUAAAUACCGGCCAGAGACCGAUAGCGCACAAGUAGAGUGAUCGAAAGAUGAAAAGCACUUUGAAAAGAGGGUUAAAUAGUACGUGAAAUUGUUGAAAGGGAAGCGCCUAUGACCAGACUUGGGCCCGGUGAAUCAUCCAGCGUUCUCGCUGGUGCACUUUGCCGGGCACAGGCCAGCAUCAGUUUGUCUUGGGGGAAAAAGGCUUUGGGAACGUGGCUCCCUCGGGAGUGUUAUAGACCAUUGCAUAAUACCCUGGGACGGACUGAGGUUCGCGCAUCUGCAAGGAUGCUGGCGUAAUGGUCAUCAGCGACCCGUCUUGAAACACGGACCAAGGAGUCGUCUUCGUAUGCGAGUGUUCGGGUGUAAAACCCCUACGCGUAAUGAAAGUGAACGCAGGUGAGAGCUUCGGCGCAUCAUCGACCGAUCCUGAUGUUCUCGGAUGGAUUUGAGUAAGAGCAUACGGGGCCGGACCCGAAAGAAGGUGAACUAUUCCUGUAUAGGGUGAAGCCAGAGGAAACUCUGGUGGAGGCUCGCAGCGGUUCUGACGUGCGAAUCGAUCGUCAAAUAUGGGAAUGGGGGCGAAAGACUAAUCGA
Molecule: ribosomal RNA, 833 nt
Filed under: Simplicillium sp.
Lineage: Eukaryota; Fungi; Ascomycota; Sordariomycetes; Hypocreales; Cordycipitaceae
Description: partial large subunit ribosomal RNA
Rfam family: Eukaryotic large subunit ribosomal RNA
Source: RNAcentral